AUGAGGACGAGACUUCUGAGGAGGAGUAUGUGGAUAUAGAUACUGACAAAGAAGAACUUAAUGCAGGUAGGACAGUCGAUGAGCAUGAGUCGCUCGCUUCUCGUUAUGCGAGAUCCAGGCCUAGCGACAAAGCUCCUACACAGGUUGAGACGCGUGGCAAGUCCGUGCACGAACGACCCGUUGGUUCUAUGAGGGCUGGUAUUCCGAAAAAGAAGAAGACCGCUCAUAAACCACACGUUGGUCGGCGCCCCUAUGGAGUGGAUUUAGGAGACAUCGCCGACGGAGAGGAAGGACACUAUGG
This is a long non-coding RNA of Asparagus officinalis (garden asparagus), 301 nucleotides long. RefSeq lists it as uncharacterized. The record is from RefSeq and is a predicted model, not a curated record. The transcript has 3 exons. NCBI's taxonomy places the organism in Eukaryota, Viridiplantae, Streptophyta, Magnoliopsida, Asparagales, Asparagaceae.